AAUGUAACUGCUGGGUUGUAUGGUGAGAAUGUGUUUAACUUUGUUAAGAAUUGUGAAAUUGUUCUUCCAAAUUAGUUGCACUAUUUGGCAUUCCCAAAGCAAU
This 103-nucleotide microRNA precursor is filed under the name Marmota monax (woodchuck). Lineage: Eukaryota; Metazoa; Chordata; Mammalia; Rodentia; Sciuridae. The record is from RNAcentral.